CAGAUUCUUCAAGGAGACCUAUUGCCUCAAAUAUCAAAAGAAGUUGACCUUCUGGAAAUUCUAAGAGGCCCACCUAGGUCGUCUUCACAAGAAUUCCUAGAUGAUUCACCCAUUUGGGACGAGGAAUUUAAAGCUGAUGACCAAAUUGGGUCACCUCCUCAAGAGGAGAGAUUUCAAGAGCUUAACUGGGGCAGGAGCACAACUUCGAUAACCAUGGCGCCCCCAUAUUAACAAAGUUCAUCUUGUGAACAACAAGUUCCUAACUGAACAGAAAGGCCUGCAGGGGCAACCCCAUCAAACUACCUAAUAUGGGCAAUCUCCUCUCAUGCGAGAGCACAACAGGGGCAGUUAAUGACAUUGGGCCCUUAUCUAUUAACUCCCAACGUGCUAUAAGGUCAUCCAAUGUUAACUCAGUCACUUUUCUUGUGCGAGAGUCUUAUUCGAGCUUAAGUACUAAGAAUGAGCCUACUACAGAAUUAACUCCUAAAAAAAAGAAAAACACAAAAUUUGGAAUGAAAGAGACAAUCGAAAAGGAGUUGGUGAUCACUCACCCCUUGCAAAAAACCAAAUGGGGC
This 575-nucleotide long non-coding RNA is filed under the name Amborella trichopoda. Its description in RNAcentral is "long non-coding RNA (ATRI_LNC000435)". The record is from RNAcentral. Lineage: Eukaryota; Viridiplantae; Streptophyta; Magnoliopsida; Amborellales; Amborellaceae.